AUUCUGGUUGAUCCUGGCGGAGGUCACUGCUAUUGGGAUUCGACUAAGCCAUGCGAGUCGAGAGGGUUCGGCCCUCGGCAGACGGCUCAGUAACACGUGGAUAAUCUGCCCUUAGGUGGAGGAUAAUCUCGGGAAACUGAGAAUAAUACUCCAUAGAUCUAGGAUGCUGGAAUGCACUUAGGUUAAAAGUUCCGACGCCUAAGGAUGAGUCUGCGGACUAUCAGGUAGUAGUCAGGGUAAAGGCCUGACUAGCCUACAACGGAUACGGGUUGUGAGAGCAAUAACCCGGAGACGAUAUCUGAGACACGAUAUCGGGCCCUACGGGGCGCAGCAGGCGCGAAACCUUCACAAUGUGCGAAAGCACGAUGAGGGAAUCCCAAGUGCUUGCUCGUAAGAGUAAGCUGUUUUUAUGUCUAAAAAGCAUAGAGAGUAAGGGCUGGGUAAGACGGGUGCCAGCCGCCGCGGNAAUACCUGCAGCUCAAGUGGNGACCACUAUUAUUGGGCCUAAAACG
Molecule: ribosomal RNA, 512 nt
Filed under: uncultured archaeon
Lineage: Archaea
Description: bacterial SSU rRNA
Rfam family: Archaeal small subunit ribosomal RNA
Source: RNAcentral